Long non-coding RNA from Bradysia coprophila, 312 nucleotides. Lineage: Eukaryota; Metazoa; Arthropoda; Insecta; Diptera; Sciaridae. The record is from RefSeq and is a predicted model, not a curated record.
UCGAACGGAUCGGUUGCGCUGUGUGUGUAUGGAUAUAUAUAUAAUUAUUUAUAUAUAUUUUUGUCCCGCUAUAUUGAAUGAGAAGAGAAAAACUCUUUUUUUCGGUAUUUUAUUGUACAUCGCUUUAUGAUUUAAUAGAAGUUAAACUUUUGUGACGGAAAAUGGGAUAAAUCAACGAAUGUAAGAAGAAAACCGAUAAUUACAAAACCAAUCGAAAAACAUUUUUAAAAAAACAAUUAACACCAAAUGUAUUGGAGGUACAUUGCGUUUAAUGAUCGCAUUAAAUAAAAACCGCAUCAACAUCAAUCAAAA